UGAGAGGAUGAUCAGUCACACUGGAACUGAGACACGGUUAGUCGUAGUCGCCAGACUCCUACGGGAGGCAGCAGUGGGGAAUAUUGGACAAUGGGCGAAAGCCUGAUCCAGCCAUGCCGCGUGUGUGAAGAAGGUCUUCGGAUUGGGAUGCACUUUAAGUUGGGAGGAAGGGCAGUAAGUUAAUACCUUGCUGUUUUGACGUUACCAACAGAAUAAGCACCGGCUAACUUCGUGCCAGCAGCCGCGGUAAUACGAAGGGUGCAAGCGUUAAUCGGAAUUACUGGGCGUAAAGCGCGCGUAGGUGGUUCAGCAAGUUGGAGGUGAAAUCCCCGGGCUCAACCUGGGAACUGCCUCCAAAACUACUGAGCUAGAGUACGGUAGAGGGUAGUGGAAUUUCCUGUGUAGCGGUGAAAUGCGUAGAUAUAGGAAGGAACACCAGUGGCGAAGGCGACUACCUGGACUGAUACUGACACUGAGGUGCGAAAGCGUGGGGAGGAUCCAGGAUUAGAUACCCUGGUAGUCCACGCCGUAAACGAUGUCGACUAGCCGUUGGGAUCCUUGAGAUCUUAGUGGCGCAGCUAACGCAUUAAGUCGACCGCCUGGGGAGUACGGCCGCAAGGUUAAAACUCAAAUGAAUUGACGGGGGCCCGCACAAGCGGUGGAGCAUGUGGUUUAAUUCGAAGCAACGCGAAGAACCUUACCUGGCCUUGACAUGCUGAGAACUUUCCAGAGAUGGAUUGGUGCCUUCGGGAACUCAGACACAGGUGCUGCAUGGCUGUCGUCAGCUCGUGUCGUGAGGAUCGGGGUUAAGUCCCGUAACGAGCGCAACCCUUGUCCUUAGUUACCAGCACGUUAUGGUGGGCACUCUAAGGAGACUGCCGGUGACAAACCGGAGGAAGGUGGGGAUGACGUCAAGUCAUCAUGGCCCUUACGGCCAGGGCUACACACUUAGUCGGAUGUGCUACAAUGGUCGGUACGGAUGGGAUUCGUAGUG
Molecule: ribosomal RNA, 994 nt
Filed under: Aquipseudomonas alcaligenes
Lineage: Bacteria; Pseudomonadati; Pseudomonadota; Gammaproteobacteria; Pseudomonadales; Pseudomonadaceae
Description: bacterial SSU rRNA
Rfam family: Bacterial small subunit ribosomal RNA
Source: RNAcentral